This 460-nucleotide ribosomal RNA is filed under the name uncultured bacterium. RNAcentral describes it as "partial 16S ribosomal RNA". It matches the Rfam family "Bacterial small subunit ribosomal RNA", at positions 338 to 795 of the family's 1533-position model. The record is from RNAcentral.
CCUACGGGGGGCAGCAGUGAGGACUAUUGGUCAAUGGACGAGAGUCUGAACCAGCCAAGUAGCGUGAAGGAUGACUGCCCUAUGGGUUGUAAACUUCUUUUAUAUGGGAAUAAAACGUUCCACGUGUGGGAUUUUGUAUGUACCAUAUGAAUAAGGAUCGGCUAACUCCGUGCCAGCAGCCGCGGUAAUACGGAGGAUCCGAGCGUUCUCCGGAUUUAUUGGGUUUAAAGGGAGCGUAGGUGGAUUGUUAAGUCAGUUGUGAAAGUUUGCGGCUCAACCGUAAAAUUGCAGUUGAAACUGGCAGUCUUGAGUACAGUAGAGGUGGGCUGAAUGCGUGGUGUAGCGGUGAAAUGCUUAGAUAUCACGAAGAACUCCGAGUGCGAAGGCAGCUUACUGGACUGCAACUGACACUGAGGCUCGAAAGUGUGGGUAUCAAACAGGAUUAGAUACCCUGGUAGUC